Molecule: unclassified non-coding RNA, 380 nt
Filed under: Hevea brasiliensis (rubber tree)
Lineage: Eukaryota; Viridiplantae; Streptophyta; Magnoliopsida; Malpighiales; Euphorbiaceae
Source: RNAcentral
GCAAUAUUAAAGUAAAUUACUUAGUGGUGCGAUGAUUGAAAUAAGUUAAAAUGACUACAAUGGUUCUAUCCAAUCAUUUAUUUGCUCUCAAAAGUCACAUAGAAAAGAAAAAGAAAACUACAGUAUACAAUAAUAAAACUACUAGUGAGAAAUACCAAACAUCCUUGAUCCUCUGCUAAAUAACAUCAAGUUUGGCAAUUCAAGUUAGCAGUAGUCUAGUUUGGUGAUCCUAAGAACAAAGAAUCAAUAACCCCAAGAGAAAAUGAAACAAAGAAAAUCUCUACAAAUUAUCUUAGGACUAAAAGGUUGAAGUUUCAAACAUGACAACGAAUCAAUAAAAAAAUGCAUUGCAAGUAUCAACAGCUCCUUCCCACCAAGAU